UACGGAGGGGGCAAGCGUUGUUCGGAAUUACUGGGCGUAAAGGGCACGUAGGCGGCGAUGCGGGUCAGAUGUGAAAGCCCCGGGCUCAACCUGGGAAUAGCAUUUGAAACUGCAUUGCUUGAGGACGGAAGAGGAGAACGGAAUUCCCAGUGUAGAGGUGAAAUUCGUAGAUAUUGGGAAGAACACCAGUGGCGAAGGCGGUUCUCUGGUCCGUUACUGACGCUGAGGUGCGAAAGCGUGGGGAGCAAACAGG
Molecule: ribosomal RNA, 253 nt
Filed under: uncultured Rhodospirillaceae bacterium
Lineage: Bacteria; Pseudomonadati; Pseudomonadota; Alphaproteobacteria; Rhodospirillales; Rhodospirillaceae
Description: partial 16S ribosomal RNA
Rfam family: Bacterial small subunit ribosomal RNA
Source: RNAcentral